UUGCGAAAGUGUGGCUAAUACCGGAUGACACCAUCGGAUCGCAUGGUCCGGUGAUCAAAGGUGGGGACCUUCGGGCCUGCCGGUUUGGGGUCAGCCUAUGUCCUAUCAGCUUGUUGGCGGGGUAACGGCCCACCAAGGCGACGACGGGUAGCGGGCGUGAGAGCGUGACCCGCCUCAUCGGGACUGAGACACUGCCCGGACACCUACGGGUGGCUGCAGUAACGAAUAUUGGGCAAUGGGCGCAAGCCUGACCCAGCAAUGCCGCGUGCAGGAGGAAGCCCUUCGGGGUGUAAACUGCUGUCAGGGUUUCGCAAGCAAGGCCGGUUAAUAGCCGGCGGCGUUGAGCAGACCCAGAGGAAGUCUCGGCUAACUCUGUGCCAGCAGCCGCGGUAAGACAGAGGAGGCGAGCGUUGUUCGGAAUUAUUGGGCUUAAAGCGCGUGUAGGCGGCUUGGUAAGUGUUCCGUGAAAGCCCACGGCUCAACCGUGGAACUGCGGGGCAUACUGCCCGGCUUGAGGUUGCUAGGGGUGCCUGGAACUCUAGGUGGAGCGGUGAAAUGCGUAGAUAUCUAGAGGAACGCCAGAGGCGAAAGCGAGGCACUGGAGCAAUUCUGACGCUGAGACGCGAAAGCGUGGGGAGCAAACAGGAUUAGAUACCCUGGUAGUCCACGCUGUAAACGAUGCACACUGGAUCUGGCGACUCUGACGGUUGCCGGGUCGUAGCGAAAGCCGUUAAGUGUGCCGCCCUGGGGAUUACCGGCCCGCAAGGCUAAAACUCAAAGGAAUUGACGGGGGCUCACACAAGCGGUGGAGCAUGUGGCUUAAUUCGAAGCAACGCG
RNAcentral lists this ribosomal RNA (837 nucleotides) under uncultured organism. RNAcentral describes it as "bacterial SSU rRNA". It matches the Rfam family "Bacterial small subunit ribosomal RNA", at positions 149 to 963 of the family's 1533-position model. The record is from RNAcentral.